GUAAGCAGAGUAAAAUUCGAAAACAAAACUGUGAACUCAAAAUCUUGAACUUUCAAUUGCCAACAGACAACAACAUUCAAUCUAAUAUAAAAAAAAAAAUCAAAUGAAAUGAAAAUCAAAAACCCAGAAAAAUCCCUCCAAGUAGGAUGUAUCAAUAGCCAAUUCAGCAGAUUCAGAAAUAGAAAUUGAGAACAAUGAUCCAAUAAAAAAACAAAAAAGACUUACCCAGACAUGUUUCCUAUUUGAAUGCGUUUAGGAUCAGAAAGAAAUCCGAUUUUUUUUUUUUUUUUUUGUUACCGAAAUUGGCUGUUUAAAGAAAUCCGAUUUAUCUGCGAGUAAAAGGGCCAAUGUUAGUUUCACAAGGCAAAGCUUAAAUCGAAAAAUAAGUGAGAGUCGGCGCGAAAGAAAAAUCUUCGCGAAAUUGAGUUUCGGAAUCAGAACUGUCGGAGAAGAGGAGUGAAGAGAACUAACCCUCAUAUGAGAAACAAUGGCUGGAAAGCCACUUUAGGGAAAAAAAAAGGCUGGAA
RNAcentral lists this long non-coding RNA (527 nucleotides) under Arabidopsis lyrata. RNAcentral's name for it is "long non-coding RNA (ALYR_LNC000107)". The record is from RNAcentral. Lineage: Eukaryota; Viridiplantae; Streptophyta; Magnoliopsida; Brassicales; Brassicaceae.